UACGGAGGAGGCAAGCGUUAUCCGGAAUUAUUGGGCGUAAAGCGUCCGUAGGCGGUUUGUCGCGUCUGCUGUGAAAACUCGAGGCUCAACCUCGGGCUUGCAGUGGGUACGGGCAGACUAGAGUGCGGUAGGGGUGACUGGAAUUCCUGGUGUAGCGGUGGAAUGCGCAGAUAUCAGGAGGAACACCGAUGGCGAAGGCAGGUCACUGGGCCGCAACUGACGCUGAGGAGCGAAAGCAUGGGGAGCGAACAGG
RNAcentral lists this ribosomal RNA (253 nucleotides) under uncultured bacterium. Its description in RNAcentral is "partial 16S ribosomal RNA". It matches the Rfam family "Bacterial small subunit ribosomal RNA", at positions 524 to 776 of the family's 1533-position model. The record is from RNAcentral.